Molecule: ribosomal RNA, 250 nt
Filed under: uncultured bacterium
Lineage: Bacteria
Description: partial 16S ribosomal RNA
Rfam family: Bacterial small subunit ribosomal RNA
Source: RNAcentral
GCAAGUCGAGCGGAAACGACGGUAGCUUUCUCCCGGGCGUCGAGCGGCGGACGGGUGAGUAACGCGUAGGAAUCUACCUAGUAGCGGGGGAUAGCCCGAGGAAACUCUGAUUAAUACCGCAUACGCCCUACGGGGGAAAGGCCGGGAUCUUCGGACCGGUCACUACUGGAGGAGCCUGCGUAGGAUUAGCUAGUUGGUGAGGUAAAGGCUCACCAAGGCGACGAUCCUUAGCUGGUCUGAGAGGACGAUC